CUGGAGCCCAGCGUGGGGCACGGAUGACCCCACAGUGGGGCAGGACCCCACAACCCUGAAGAAAUUGGAGAUAGGACGCCAGGGGUGACUUGGGACCCAGAAGGGGGCCAACUUCGGAUAAAGAAAAUUCACUUUCACUGUUCCUGAAUAUAACCAUGACAGACCCACAGCCAGAUAUCAGUGGCAUGUCCUGCCUCAGUCUACUGCUGGUGAAACCGAAGAAAACAAACCGUGAACCAAAACGCUCAACUUAUGUCUGUCUUUUGACAUGUUCAAUCUCAGCCAUGCAAUAUUUAAGGAAAGGAGGAAGGCCUUUGUCUUCUCACGUGUCUGAACGCAGAAUGGGAAAGCACCUGCCCCCAGGUCUGAAUGCAGCAUGGGGAGGCACCAGCUUGAGAACAACAGGUGCAGGCCUUGGACAUUAUCUGCCCACGAAAGCAUAUCUUGCCCUCGAAAACGAGCCAGGACGCCUCACCCUGAAAACAGGGAGACCUUGAGGAUGUGUGAAAGCACCGCACUUGCUUACUGGGCAGAUUCUAAGAAAAUCAACAAGGUGUUCUGGCCUGUCCCCCCUGAGAAGGGAAAGAUGAGUAUAGCACUUGGCUGAGGUCCGAGAAAGGCAGUAGAAAAAUAAAGGAACUGCACCACAUUGGGGCUACAGCCAUUGUCUGUCUGUGUUGUCUGUGUUUUUUGUUCACUCCCUUUUCACCCGUGCAAGCAGCUCGCUACAAAGUGUAUAUUAAUGAUACCAAAAAACAAACA
Long non-coding RNA from Manis pentadactyla (Chinese pangolin), 762 nucleotides. RefSeq lists it as uncharacterized. Lineage: Eukaryota; Metazoa; Chordata; Mammalia; Pholidota; Manidae. The transcript has 3 exons. The record is from RefSeq and is a predicted model, not a curated record.